Molecule: ribosomal RNA, 497 nt
Filed under: uncultured bacterium
Lineage: Bacteria
Description: partial 16S ribosomal RNA
Rfam family: Bacterial small subunit ribosomal RNA
Source: RNAcentral
GAUGAACGCUGGCGGCGUGCCUAAUACAUGCAAGUCGAGCGAACGGACGAGAAGCUUGCUUCUCUGAUGUUAGCGGCGGACGGGUGAGUAACACGUGGAUAACCUACCUAUAAGACUGGGAUAACUUCGGGAAACCGUAGCUAAUACCGGAUAAUAUUUUGAACCGCAUGGUUCAAAAGUGAAAGACGGUCUUGCUGUCACUUAUAGAUGGAUCCGCGCUGCAUUAGCUAGUUGGUAAGGUAACGGCUUACCAAGGCAACGAUGCAUAGCCGACCUGAGAGGGUGAUCGGCCACACUGGAACUGAGACACGGUCCAGACUCCUACGGGAGGCAGCAGUAGGGAAUCUUCCGCAAUGGGCGAAAGCCUGACGGAGCAACGCCGCGUGAGUGAUGAAGGUCUACGGAUCGUAAAACUCUGUUAUUAGGGAAGAACAUAUGUGUAAGUAACUGUGCACAUCUUGACGGUACCUAAUCAGAAAGCCACGGCUAACUACGUG